Molecule: long non-coding RNA, 245 nt
Organism: Xenopus laevis (African clawed frog)
Lineage: Eukaryota; Metazoa; Chordata; Amphibia; Anura; Pipidae
Exons: 3
Source: RefSeq, a predicted model, not a curated record
CAGCUCUGUGCGAGAUAUGUGCUAUUGCCUCAGCUCCUGCAUACAUGCCAACCAGGGUUGGACUGGGCAGGCUCAGACCCUCUGCUCUCCCACCUGAGACUAAUGGCGCUCCCCCUGGCCUCCCUUGAUUGUGGCCGCAAAGGAAAGUAAAAGUAAAGGAGGGCGAGCCUGGCAAGGAUGGGAGAUCUCUGGGAACUGCUACUGAGGGCAAGAGAUAACAUCUUGUGUGCUUCCUCCGUCCGAUC